RNAcentral lists this ribosomal RNA (295 nucleotides) under uncultured bacterium. RNAcentral's name for it is "partial 16S ribosomal RNA". It matches the Rfam family "Bacterial small subunit ribosomal RNA", at positions 28 to 334 of the family's 1533-position model. The record is from RNAcentral.
GAUGAACGCUGGCGGUGUGCCUUAGGCAUGCAAGUCGAACGAGAAUCCCGCUUCGGCGGGAGGACAGUGGCAGACGGGUGAGUAACACGUAGGAAUCUACCCAGUAGUGGGGAAUAGCCCUCCGAAAGGAGGAGUAAUACCGCAUACUCCCCGCUUAGCGGGGCAAAGGCUUCGGUCGCUAUUGGAGGAUCCUGCGCGCUAUCAGCUAGUUGGUGAGGUAAAGGCUCACCAAGGCAACGACGGCUAGCCGAUGUGAGAGCAUGAUCGGCCACAAGGUCACUGAGAUACGGGGCCU